AGAGUGAACGCUGGCGGCAGGCCUAAUACAUGCAAGUCGAACGGCAGCACAGCAGAGCUUGCUCUGUGGGUGGCGAGUGGCGGACGGGUGAGGAAUACAUGGGAAUCUGCCCAGUCGUGGGGGAUAACGUAGGGAAACUUACGCUAAUACCGCAUGCGCCCUUCGGGGGGAAAGCCGGGGACCUUCGGGCCUGGCGCGAUUGGAUGAGCCCAUGUCGGAUUAGCUAGUUGGCGGGGUAAAGCCCACCAAGGCGACGAUCCGUAGCUGGUCUGAGAGGAUGAUCAGCCACACUGGAACUGAGACACGGUCCAGACUCCUACGGGAGCAGCAGUAGGGAAUAUGGACAAUGGGCACAAGCCUGAUCCAGCCAUGCCGCGUGUGUGAAGAAGGCCUUGGUUGUAAAGCUACGUUUUGUACCGGAAAGAAAAGCGACGUAGGUUAACACCCGUGGUACGUCCGUGACGGUACCGGAAGAAUAACGCGACCGGACUAACGUCGU
RNAcentral lists this ribosomal RNA (499 nucleotides) under uncultured soil bacterium. RNAcentral describes it as "bacterial SSU rRNA". It matches the Rfam family "Bacterial small subunit ribosomal RNA", at positions 26 to 506 of the family's 1533-position model. The record is from RNAcentral.